ACAAUAACAAAGAAAAUGAAGCAGAUGAAAAUUUUUUGAAAGAAUUUAACAACUUCAUGACCACUCUUUCUCAGCUCUUUAUUUUCUCAAGAACAUGUGUAAGUUACAUUGCCGGUUGGGUUGUGAGAAAAUUAAUAAAUAAAAAAAACUAUUAUCCGAUGUGAAACGUGCAGAAAUGCUCUACUUCAAGAUUUUCCACAUUUGGCACAAUUCGAACGAAACUGUCUUAUAGAAGCUAAAACUAAUGGAGGUCUAUUUUUUCCCAGUGAAUCUGUCGUUCGGAUUUGUAAAACAACGAAAAAGUUAUUAAGGCAUUCCUUAGAUAAACUUAACGUUAAACGAACACAUGUUUGAUGAUGCAGUUAAUGAUACAAAUCAUAUUUAUUUUCUUUCGAAGCAAGUGUGCAAAGCAUACUUGUAUUUAAGACUAUAUGCUGCAACAAAGAUAACAUCUGAAACUGCUGUGGGGACAAACACUAACUCGACUAACUCGACGAAUUAUCUUGGAGCGUCAGUGAAAGCUGUUUAACUUUUUAUUUAUUCGCAUGAAGUGCGAUAAAAUAAGCAUAGCAUAAGUUCUUGUAACAAGUAGCAUAAUAGUAUGGUUUGGCAUGAAACGCACAAAAAAAUUUGUUGUUUUAAAUUUAAUGCCAGUCUUUAUUAGUUCCUAUUUAUUGGUAAGGAUUAUUUUCUCAAAGGCAGUCUAGAAUAAUAUAAGCAUUUGCAUGUAUUCGAUGACUUCUCUUGUAUUUAUUAUUCGCAUAAAGUGCAAUAAAACAAACAUAAA
Cataglyphis hispanica is the source of this 787-nucleotide long non-coding RNA. RefSeq lists it as uncharacterized. NCBI's taxonomy places the organism in Eukaryota, Metazoa, Arthropoda, Insecta, Hymenoptera, Formicidae. The transcript is spliced from 2 exons. The record is from RefSeq and is a predicted model, not a curated record.